This 253-nucleotide ribosomal RNA is filed under the name uncultured bacterium. Its description in RNAcentral is "partial 16S ribosomal RNA". It matches the Rfam family "Bacterial small subunit ribosomal RNA", at positions 524 to 776 of the family's 1533-position model. The record is from RNAcentral.
UACGUAGGGCGCAAGCGUUGUCCGGAAUUAUUGGGCGUAAAGAGCUCGUAGGCGGUCUGUCGCGUCUGUUGCGAAAACUCGAGGCUCAACCUCGGGCUUGCAGUGGAUACGGGCAGACUAGAGUGCGGUAGGGGAGACUGGAAUUCCUGGUGUAGCGGUGGAAUGCGCAGAUAUCAGGAGGAACACCGCUGGCGAAGGCAGGUCUCUGGGCCGCAACUGACGCUGAGGAGCGAAAGCAUGGGGAGCGAACAGG